Molecule: non-coding RNA, 19 nt
Filed under: Mus musculus (house mouse)
Lineage: Eukaryota; Metazoa; Chordata; Mammalia; Rodentia; Muridae
Source: RNAcentral
CCCGGGUUUUGGCACCAAC